This 465-nucleotide ribosomal RNA is filed under the name uncultured bacterium. Its description in RNAcentral is "partial 16S ribosomal RNA". It matches the Rfam family "Bacterial small subunit ribosomal RNA", at positions 28 to 507 of the family's 1533-position model. The record is from RNAcentral.
GACGAACGCUGGCGGCGUGCUUAACACAUGCAAGUCGAACGGUAAGGCUCCAGCUUGCUGGGGUACACGAGUGGCGAACGGGUGAGUAACACGUGGGUGACCUGCCCUGCACUUCGGGAUAAGCCUGGGAAACUGGGUCUAAUACCGGAUAGGACCGCACCGUGAGGGUGUGGUGGAAAGUUUUUUCGGUGUGGGAUGGGCCCGCGGCCUAUCAGCUUGUUGGUGGGGUAAUGGCCUACCAAGGCGGCGACGGGUAGCCGGCCUGAGAGGGUGGACGGCCACAUUGGGACUGAGACACGGCCCAGACUCCUACGGGAGGCAGCAGUGGGGAAUAUUGCACAAUGGGCGGGAGCCUGAUGCAGCGACGCCGCGUGGGGGAUGACGGCCUUCGGGUUGUAAACUCCUUUCACCAUCGACGAAGGGUUUCUGACGGUAGAUGGAGAAGAAGCACCGGCUAACUACGUG